Molecule: ribosomal RNA, 1240 nt
Filed under: metagenome
Description: SSU rRNA
Rfam family: Eukaryotic small subunit ribosomal RNA
Source: RNAcentral
AACCUAGUCUUUUGACAGUGGAUUGUAAUUAGUGCAAUUUAACACACUGCACGAGGAACAAUUGGAGGGCAAGUCUGGUGCCAGCGGCCGCGGUAAUUCCAGCUCCAAUAGCGUAUAUUAAAGUUGUUGCAGCUAAAAAGCUCGUAGUUGAAUUUCUAAUUAGUUAAUUUGGAAUUUUUUUCACUUUAGCUAAUUAUUCGACACUGAACCAUGACGGUUAUUAAGUUAAUCCCAUGGAGAAUUGUCACUUUACUUUGAAAAAAUUAGAGUGUUUCAGGCAGGCAUUUGCCCGAAUAUCUUAGCAUGGAAUAAUGGAAUAGGACUUUGGUUCAUUUUAUUGGUUAUUGAAUCAGAGUAAUGAUUAAUAGGGACAGUUGGGGGCAUUAGUAUUUAAUUGUCAGAGGUGAAAUUCUUGGAUUUAUUAAAGACUAACUUAUGCGAAAGCAUUUGCCAAGGAUGUUUUCAUUAAUCAAGAACGAAAGUUAGGGGAUCAAGGACGAUCAGAUACCGUCCUAGUCUUGACUAUAAACUAUACCGACUCAGGAUUGGCCAUGUUUCAACUUGGCCAGCACUGUAUGAGAAAUUAAAGUCUUUGGGUUCUGGGGGGAGUAUGGUCGCAAGGCUGAAACUUAAAGGAAUUGACGGAAGGGCACCACCAGGAGUGGAGCCUGCGGCUUAAUUUGACAACACGGGGAAACUUACCAAGGCCAAACAGAGGUGGGAUUGACAGAUUGAGAGCUCUUUCUUGAUUCUUUGGGUGGUGGUGCAUGGCCGUUCUUAGUUGGUGGAGUGAUUUGUCUGGUUAAUUCCGUUAACGAACGAGACCUUAACCUGCUAACUAGUUUAUAUUCUCACAGAGUAUAAUACUUCUUAGAGGGACUAUAUGUGUAAAGCAUAUGGAAGUUUGAGGCAAUAACAGGUCUGUGAUGCCCUUAGAUGCCUUGGGCCGCACGUGCGCUACAAUGACAUGCUCAGCAAGUUCUAUCCUGAUUUGGAAAAAUUUGGGUAAUCUUUUUAGGACAUGUCGUGUUAGGGAUCGAUCUUUGGAAUUAUAGAUCUUGAACGAGGAAUUCCUAGUAAGUGCAAGUCAUCAGCUUGUACUGAUUACGUCCCUGCCCUUUGUACACACCGCCCGUCGCUGCUACCGAUUUCGAGUGGUCCGGUGAACCACAUGGACUAUUUCAGGCAACUGAAUUGGAAGUGUAGUAAACCUUAUCACUUAGAGGAAGCAGAAGUCGUA